UGAAGUUUUGGUCCUAGACUCAAUAUUAAUUUUAACUAAACUUAUACAUGCAAGUCUCAGCACUCCGGUGAGUAUAUCCUGAAUAAAUUAUAAUUUAUUUAUGAACUGGUAUCAGGCACAUUAAAUUAAUAGCCCACAACACCUAGCUCAGCCACACCCACAAGGGACAUCAGCAGUAACAAACAUUAUAAAAUAAGCGCAAGCUUGAAUUAAUUAUAGUUAAAAGAGUUGGUAAAUCUCGUGCCAGCCACCGCGGUUAUACGAGUGACUCACAUUAAUAUUCUUCGGCGUAAAGAGUGGUUAAAAGUAAAUAAAAUUAAAGUUAAGACUUUGUUAAACUGUUAUACGUUUACACAAACUAAAAAACUCACCAACGAAAGUGACUUUAUAGCCUUUGAACCCACGACAAUUAAAACCCAAACUAGGAUUAGAUACCCUACUAUGUUUAAUUAUAAAUAAAUUACAUAUACUAAACCAUUCGCCAGAGAACUACAAGCGCUAGCUUCAAACCCAAAGGACUUGGCGGUUCUUCAAAACCACCUAGAGGAGCCUGUUCUAUAACCGAUAAUCCGCGUUAAACCUCACCACUUCUUGCCAUAACAGCCUAUAUACCGCCGUCGCCAGCUCACCUUAUGAAAGAACAACAGUAAGCACAAAGAACAUCACAUUCAACACGUCAGGUCGAGGUGUAGCAAAUGAAGUGGAAAGAAAUGGGCUACAUUUUCUAUUAAGAAAAAACGGACAAAUACAUGAAAAAUAUUUUAAAGGUGGAUUUAACAGUAAGAAUAAAUAAGAACAUUAUUCUGAAGCCGGCCCUGAAGAAUGCACACACCGCCCGUCACUCUCCUCAAAAAUAAACCAUUAUUAUAAAUAAUAAAACUAAUAAUACAAGAGGAGGCAAGUCGUAACAUGGUAAGUGUACUGGAAGGUGCACUUAGAAUAAU
This 944-nucleotide non-coding RNA is filed under the name Narcine timlei (blackspotted numbfish). RNAcentral's name for it is "12S ribosomal RNA". The stretch from base 155 to 943 matches the Rfam family "Microsporidia small subunit ribosomal RNA". Lineage: Eukaryota; Metazoa; Chordata; Chondrichthyes; Torpediniformes; Narcinidae. The record is from RNAcentral.